CUUUUUUAUGCCCAAGCGUAGGAAAACCUUUUGUGACAUAACAAAAAUGUAAAAAAUAGAUCAUUAAAUUCAUACGUAGUCUGCGAAUUAAAAGAGAUUCUACACCUAUAUCCCCCGACUGACGGAUGCUAUAGGGUAUGAAAAUACGAAAAUAUUAACGCGAAAUAGGAAAUCAGAGAUCGGCCAAAAAGUCGGAAAAUAUGUCAGCGCCGAGGGGCAGCGGGAAAGAUGACAUCCAAUAUGCGGGAAAACAUUGAAGACCUGACCCACAUAUUUCGUUGGUGGUUCUCCUCAGUUUCCUUCCACCCUUUCCACGACUUCUGCUUUUGCCCUCCAAAAAGUGAUUGACAAGGUCACUAGGUGGACUACAAAAGAUAUGCAAAUAUUGGGUGCCGAACGAAAGCUGCGGGCGUGACUCACGACCACCCAUCGGGGUCACCAAACAUCCCCCAUCCCAGUGGGGAACGAGCUCGGCCAUAGGAUCGACAAGCAGUCAUAAACUCGAACUACUUAUGGCAACUAGCAAUUCUCAUUGCAUAUUUAUUCGGCUAUAAAAUGCGAAAGAGCAGCCGCACAUGGGAUCACAUGGCAUUCCAUACCAAGCGAUCCCUAGAUCCCCAACUAAAUAAAUUUCAAAAUUGUUUAUUUUCUUCCAAAC
RNAcentral lists this long non-coding RNA (658 nucleotides) under Drosophila melanogaster (fruit fly). RNAcentral's name for it is "long non-coding RNA:CR43719 (Dmel_CR43719)". Lineage: Eukaryota; Metazoa; Arthropoda; Insecta; Diptera; Drosophilidae. The record is from RNAcentral.